GUCCAUUCAUUUAUAAGAAUCCAUUUUCAAUACUCUAAAUAGUCGAAAUAAACAGUUUCAAUACUAAAGUAAAACAUAUUUAUAAUUUUACAGAGGAGAGAAAACUUAGCCCCUGUUUCAUCAUCAUCACACAAGAAAACUUGCAGCAUCAGUAAAAUCACAAUAAGUAAAUAAAGUUCAUAAACCCCCAAAUUGAUCUCAUUUAUUUAGAGCAUUCUUUUCGGAAGUUAACCCUGGAACCACUGACGUGACAUCAUCAAAGUAAAGUAAUCAUCGAUAAAGACUUUCGGAUCGAAGGUUCUCGACAAUCUCAAUUUCUCAUUGGUCCCCAUUCUCAAGCAGCUUCUCCUUAUCGUACCAGAAGCUCAUACAACAAUGAGGAAAUUUAAG
This 390-nucleotide long non-coding RNA is filed under the name Panax ginseng (ginseng). Its description in RNAcentral is "long non-coding RNA (PGIN_LNC018461)". The record is from RNAcentral. Lineage: Eukaryota; Viridiplantae; Streptophyta; Magnoliopsida; Apiales; Araliaceae.